This is a non-coding RNA of Salmo salar (Atlantic salmon), 54 nucleotides long. Lineage: Eukaryota; Metazoa; Chordata; Actinopteri; Salmoniformes; Salmonidae. The record is from Rfam.
UGCAAUCACUACUGUAAGUCGCUCUGGAUAAGAGCGUCUGCUAAAUGACUCAAA